This 253-nucleotide ribosomal RNA is filed under the name uncultured bacterium. Its description in RNAcentral is "partial 16S ribosomal RNA". It matches the Rfam family "Bacterial small subunit ribosomal RNA", at positions 524 to 776 of the family's 1533-position model. The record is from RNAcentral.
UACAGAGGGGGCAAGCGUUGUUCGGAAUUACUGGGCGUAAAGGGCGCGUAGGCGGCCUUCUAAGUCAUGCGUGAAAUCCCUGGGCUCAACCCAGGAACUGCGUCCAAGACUGGGAGGCUUGAAUCCGGGAGAGGGAUGCGGAAUUCCAGGUGUAGCGGUGAAAUGCGUAGAUAUCUGGAGGAACACCGGUGGCGAAGGCGGCAUCCUGGACCGGUAUUGACACUGAGGCGCGAAAGCCAGGGGAGCAAACGGG